Molecule: ribosomal RNA, 476 nt
Filed under: uncultured organism
Description: partial 16S ribosomal RNA
Rfam family: Bacterial small subunit ribosomal RNA
Source: RNAcentral
CGUACACUCCUGCGGGAGGCAGCAGUGGGGAAUAUUGCACAAUGGGCGCAAGCCUGAUGCAGCCAUGCCGCGUGUAUGAAGAAGGCCUUCGGGUUGUAAAGUACUUUCAGCGGGGAGGAAGGCAAUACGGUUAAUAACCGUGUUGAUUGACGUUACCCGCAGAAGAAGCACCGGCUAACUCCGUGCCAGCAGCCGCGGUAAUACGGAGGGUGCAAGCGUUAAUCGGAAUUACUGGGCGUAAAGCGCACGCAGGCGGUCUGUCAAGUCGGAUGUGAAAUCCCCGGGCUCAACCUGGGAACUGCAUUCGAAACUGGCAGGCUUGAGUCUUGUAGAGGGGGGUAGAAUUCCAGGUGUAGCGGUGAAAUGCGUAGAGAUCUGGAGGAAUACCGGUGGCGAAGGCGGCCCCCUGGACAAAGACUGACGCUCAGGUGCGAAAGCGUGGGGAGCAAACAGGAUUAGAAACCCCGGUAGUCCCA